GGAGCCAUGGCACAAUCCGGUACUGCAACGGACUCGAAAUCCGUCGAACCUGUUUACGCAGGUGUACGAGUUCAAAUCUCGUUGGCUCCU
RNAcentral lists this transfer RNA (90 nucleotides) under Lactovum miscens. It matches the Rfam family "tRNA". From Rfam's summary of the family: Transfer RNA (tRNA) molecules are approximately 80 nucleotides in length. Their secondary structure includes four short double-helical elements and three loops (D, anti-codon, and T loops). RNAcentral also lists the same sequence under 2 other names. The record is from Rfam by way of RNAcentral. Lineage: Bacteria; Bacillati; Bacillota; Bacilli; Lactobacillales; Streptococcaceae.